GAUGAACGCUGGCGGCGUGCCUAAUACAUGCAAGUCGAGCGAACGGACGAGAAGCUUGCUUCUCUGAUGUUAGCGGCGGACGGGUGAGUAACACGUGGAUAACCUACCUAUAAGACUGGGAUAACUUCGGGAAACCGGAGCUAAUACCGGAUAAUAUUUUGAACCGCAUGGUUCAAAAGUGAAAGACGGUCUUGCUGUCACUUAUUGAUGGAUCCGCGCUGCAUUAGCUAGUUGGUAAGGUAACGGCUUACCAAGGCAACGAUGCAUAGCCGACCUGAGAGGGUGAUCGGCCACACUGGAACUGAGACACGGUCCAGACUCCUACGGGAGGCAGCAGUAGGUAAUCUUCCGCAAUGGGCGAAAGCCUGACGGAGCAACGCCGCGUGAGUGAUGAAGGUCUUCGGAUCGUAAAACUCUGUUAUUAGGGAAGAACAUAUGUGUAAGUAACUGUGCACAUCUUGACGGUACCUAAUCAGAAAGCCACGGCUAACUACGUG
This 497-nucleotide ribosomal RNA is filed under the name uncultured bacterium. RNAcentral's name for it is "partial 16S ribosomal RNA". It matches the Rfam family "Bacterial small subunit ribosomal RNA", at positions 28 to 507 of the family's 1533-position model. The record is from RNAcentral.